UGAUGCUCCUGUGGUGCUAUAAUAGAAGGAUGCUCGAUAUGUAGGUCGUGUAGAUUUUUGAAGAUGUAAUAUGCUAAUUUUGAUCUUUAAUUGAGCGACAACUGACUAAGCGAAAUGUAUAUUCCUCCAUGUAAUUAUUGACAUGAACAUAUUCGGUGCUAUGGUUUUUGAGUAGCUUUUUUCGUUUCGGUUGAAAGUUGUAGAUGGUUCCUACUACAUGGCAGCGGAUAAAGGAUAAUCUGACCUGACCUACACACUGGA
Molecule: unclassified non-coding RNA, 261 nt
Filed under: Hevea brasiliensis (rubber tree)
Lineage: Eukaryota; Viridiplantae; Streptophyta; Magnoliopsida; Malpighiales; Euphorbiaceae
Source: RNAcentral